RNAcentral lists this ribosomal RNA (505 nucleotides) under uncultured bacterium. RNAcentral's name for it is "partial 16S ribosomal RNA". It matches the Rfam family "Bacterial small subunit ribosomal RNA", at positions 28 to 507 of the family's 1533-position model. The record is from RNAcentral.
GACGAACGCUGGCGGCGUGCCUAAUACAUGCAAGUAGAACGCACAGUUUAUACCGUAGCUUGCUACACCAUAAACUGUGAGUUGCGAACGGGUGAGUAACGCGUAGGUAACCUGCCUGGUAGCGGGGGAUAACUAUUGGAAACGAUAGCUAAUACCGCAUAAUAUUAAUUAUUGCAUGAUAAUUGAUUGAAAGAUGCAAUUGCAUCACUACCAGAUGGACCUGCGUUGUAUUAGCUAGUAGGUGAGGUAACGGCUCACCUAGGCGACGAUACAUAGCCGACCUGAGAGGGUGAUCGGCCACACUGGGACUGAGACACGGCCCAGACUCCUACGGGAGGCAGCAGUAGGGAAUCUUCGGCAAUGGACGAAAGGCUGACCGAGCAACGCCGCGUGAGUGAAGAAGGUUUUCGGAUCGUAAAGCUCGGUUGUAAGAGAAGAACGGGUGUGAGAGUGGAAAGUUCACAAUGUGACGGUAUCUUACCAGAAAGGGACGGCUAACUACGUG